RNAcentral lists this long non-coding RNA (338 nucleotides) under Struthio camelus australis. Its description in RNAcentral is "lncRNA (ENSSCUG00000016870.1)". The record is from RNAcentral. Lineage: Eukaryota; Metazoa; Chordata; Aves; Struthioniformes; Struthionidae.
UGAUCACAUAGCAAGUUAGUAUUUAUUUUGGAAAUUAGAACAGGGAGUGUGAUUUUAUUGGAUUUGAAAGCUGAUUUUUUUUUUUUAAUUUUGUGCUCAGUGUACAAAAUUAAAAUAAUUUAAUUAUCUGUCCAGAUAAAAAAAUACCAGCUUCUCAUUUUUUUGUUCUCCUCCCUGUUUUCUUUCAGGAGAGAAGCUUAAUGGAGGAGCCUUGCCUAGUAUGCAAGGGAACACAAAUUGUCUGCAUCAAGUGGUAAUAAGGAAAUAUUGUUUAUUCUUUGCAGAGAUGAGAAAAUCUUUUCCAGCUUGUAUUCCUUAGACAGAUUUUCAGGUCCUGA